Melitaea cinxia (Glanville fritillary) is the source of this 347-nucleotide long non-coding RNA. RefSeq lists it as uncharacterized. The record is from RefSeq and is a predicted model, not a curated record. The transcript is spliced from 2 exons. NCBI's taxonomy places the organism in Eukaryota, Metazoa, Arthropoda, Insecta, Lepidoptera, Nymphalidae.
CCGGGCUUGAAAAAUAUCGAUGUUCUAAGAGGAUACGUAUUUUAUACUGACUGCAAUAUAUUUUAUUCAUGUAUGAACAACAAACCUCGUCGUUUACAAUGCGAUGAGUAUUUCGCUUUUGACGAGGGCACUCAGUCUUGCAUUCCGGCACAUUUUGUAAUGUCUUGUACUAAAACACAAAAAUUAUAGCUUUCAGUGUUAUAAGACGAAAAGCUAACGGAGAAUACCUUACAAGAGAUCAACCUAUUAUAUUUACUGAAUUUAAGGACCGACCUAAAGUAAUUCUGUAAUUUGAUAUUAUUCUUCAUCAAAAAAUAAAAUAUAAAAUAAACAAACAAUAAGUGAAA